GCAAGGAAGGAGUCCUGGGAGCAUGGCUUUCCCUGAGCCAAAGCCGCGGCCUCCAGAGCUGCCGCAGAAACGGUUGAAGACGCUGGACUGCGGGCAGGGGGCAGUGCGAGCCGUACGAUUUAAUGGUGAGCGCCUUCGUCUUCAUUCCGGGUCCUCCUCCCGCCUCCUGAGAUCGACGGCCCAGUAACCCCCGCCUGGUGUUCCCCAGUGGAUGGCAAUUACUGCCUGACGUGCGGCAGUGACAAGACGCUGAAGCUGUGGAACCCGCUUCGGGGGACGCUGCUGCGGACGUACAGCGGCCACGGCUACGAGGUGCUGGAUGCGGCCGGCUCCUUUGACAACAGUAGUCUCUGCUCCGGCGGCGGGGACAAGGCGGUGGUUCUGUGGGAUGUGGCAUCAGGGCAGGUCGUGCGCAAAUUCCGGGGCCACGCAGGGAAGGUGAACACGGUGCAGUUUAAUGAAGAGGCCACAGUUAUCCUGUCCGGCUCUAUUGAUUCCAGUAUCCGCUGUUGGGAUUGCCGCUCACGGAGGCCUGAGCCAGUGCAGACGCUGGAUGAGGCCAGAGAUGGCGUGUCCAGUGUGAAGGUGUCAGACCACGAGGUCCUGGCAGGCUCUGUGGAUGGCCGCGUGAGACGCUAUGACC
This 643-nucleotide small RNA is filed under the name Pan troglodytes (chimpanzee). RNAcentral describes it as "retained intron". The record is from RNAcentral. Lineage: Eukaryota; Metazoa; Chordata; Mammalia; Primates; Hominidae.